CAAAUUGUGGGAAGUAUCUCCCCAGUGGCUUGCUGCACUUCACAAGGUCAGGUCCUGGGGAAAGUGGCUAUCCCAUGAGAAAACACAAGAAUAGAAGCAUCCAAAUACACCCUCACCUCUUGCUCGAUCUGAAAACUGCUGGGUAACAAUUGGCACAAGCUCAAUUGGGUUUAUAGGCUCCAACCAAGAUAAGGGCCCCAUUGUUCAAGGCAUUGUACACACAUAUAGUAAGAGACAGUUUAACCUGCUCUGAAGAGCUUUCAGUCUAGAUAGACAAGACACUCAAAGGAGAAACAGAG
Molecule: long non-coding RNA, 299 nt
Organism: Dermochelys coriacea (leatherback sea turtle)
Lineage: Eukaryota; Metazoa; Chordata; Testudines; Dermochelyidae
Exons: 3
Source: RefSeq, a predicted model, not a curated record